AUUGAACGCUGGCGGCAGGCUUAACACAUGCAAGUCGAGCGGUAGCACAAGAGAGCUUGCUCUUAGGGUGACGAGCGGCGGACGGGUGAGUAAUGUCUGGGAAACUGCCUGAUGGAGGGGGAUAACUACUGGAAACGGUAGCUAAUACCGCAUAACGUCGCAAGACCAAAGUGGGGGACCUUCUGGCCUCUUGCCAUCAGAUGUGCCCAGAUGGGAGUAGCUAGUAGGUGGGGUAAUGGCUCACCUAGGCGACCAUCCCUAGCUGGUCUGAGAGGAUGACCAGCCACACUGGAACUGAGACACGGUCCAGACUCCUACGGGAGGCAGCAGUGGGGAAUAUUGCACAAUGGGCGCAAUCCUGAUGCAGCCAUGCCGCGUGUGUGAAGAAGGCCUUCGGGUUGUAAAGCACUUUCAGCGAGGAGGAAGGUGGUGAACUUAAUACGUUCAUCAAUUGACGUUACUCGCAGAAGAAGCACCGGCUAACUCCGUG
RNAcentral lists this ribosomal RNA (490 nucleotides) under uncultured bacterium. RNAcentral's name for it is "partial 16S ribosomal RNA". It matches the Rfam family "Bacterial small subunit ribosomal RNA", at positions 30 to 507 of the family's 1533-position model. The record is from RNAcentral.